RNAcentral lists this transfer RNA (72 nucleotides) under Candidatus Ornithospirochaeta stercoravium. Its description in RNAcentral is "tRNA-Gly". It matches the Rfam family "tRNA". Rfam says of the family: Transfer RNA (tRNA) molecules are approximately 80 nucleotides in length. Lineage: Bacteria; Pseudomonadati; Spirochaetota; Spirochaetia; Spirochaetales; Spirochaetaceae. The record is from RNAcentral.
GCGACCGUCAUAUAGUGGCUAUUACCUCAGCUUCCCAAGCUGAAGAUGCGGGUUCGAUUCCCGUCGGUCGCU